RNAcentral lists this long non-coding RNA (1755 nucleotides) under Numida meleagris (helmeted guineafowl). RNAcentral's name for it is "lncRNA (ENSNMEG00000009229.1)". The record is from RNAcentral. Lineage: Eukaryota; Metazoa; Chordata; Aves; Galliformes; Numididae.
CUUGAGCUGGUCGAGGCCUGCACAUGAACAUAUGGCUAUGGAACCUGCCAAAAUGAGUGCCGAGUUUUUCAUCAGUACUGCCAAGGUGCUUCCGUCCGAGGUUCGUUCUUUGAGGAAAGAGAGUGAGUUGCUGUCAGCAGGAAUCAAGAGCAAGGUGGGACAGGAUUGCCACAAAGUUUGAAUGUGCAGCUGGGCCACUUACAGAGAAACUGUAAUUUCCUGUGUAAAUCUGCAUUUUGCUUCUUCUGCCGUUUCAAGGCAUGUUAGCUUCUGAUUUCUCUUCACAUAUUCCACACAAUCUCUUUCAGUUACCCACAUGCAGCUAAACAAAUCACAUAACCCUUUGCUGUGAUCCCCUUAUCCAGCAAGUUAAAGCACUUGGCGUUGUUCUGUGGUUCCAUGAGCAUCUAAAACUUCUCCGUUUAAUGCGCCAAAGAAAAAAACUGCUACUGCUGAGUCCCCAAAAUGGUGUUUGGUUCCUGUGCUUCUGAUGAAGGGCUGCUGGUCUGCAAAAUGAAAACUCACGAUCACUGUGGACAAAAAUUACAUACUGCACCAUUGAGAAUAUGCCAAAAUGCUGAGAAAGCUCGAAACAGAAAGAAACCAAUCUGUUCAGAGUUCGUGGUCCAUCUAAGCAUAAAUGUGGCAAGGAGCUACACCAAAGGUUAUUCUACUGUUGUCUUUUCUAAAUCAGCAUUAAUUGUGAUUGGCUUUCUGUGAUGACGCAUACACGAUCGAUUGUAAAACACAUAAAUAACGGUGGAUGGGAUCAGUUACAUCUCCUUAUUGCCCACCAAAAAUGAAAUGCAUGUCCAGGCUGACUACUCCAUUUGGUUUUGGAGCUCUGCAGAUAUUAGAAUUGCAUACUUGUGCACGCUUCAAACUGUUGCCAUGUUUAUUAGUAUGGGCUAACUGGAUCCCAAAGCAUUAGAUGGCUGUGAAAAUGGGACACCAAACUUCGGUUUCUUCUGCAGGCUCACAGUGGUGUGAGGUUCUAGAACUUGCUUUUGGGUCCAGGAGUUUGCAAGGUUGGUGCUUUAGCACAUAGCUUUUAGCCUAUCUUCUGUGGGAUGUAAUUGUAAUUCUGCUCCCGCUGUGCUACUAGUUUCUAUUCAUAUUUUUUGUAAGAAACCAAAACGUGUACAUUGGUGUUAGCAGCAGCUUUCUUUUUGCCUGCAUACCCCGAUUUGAUUUAUAAUCUAGAUGUUGUCAGCAUCUGACUCUAAUUAACUGGAUAAAUGAAGUUGAGAAGAUCUUGACUGAAUUAGCAGUUGAAGAAUGCAUCUUACCAGAAGCAGAUGGAGAGAAAAAACAGUGUGUUUAGUUUAUGGCCAUUCCCCUGGUUUAUGGCCAUUUCCUAUUUUAAGGGGAAAAGUUCUGCCAAAUCAAUUCUUGUCAAAUGCUAAUUAAAUUAUAGUGAUGAUUAAUCCUGAUGUAAAUACAUUAUUUCAAUGUUUAGGAGACUUAUAAAUAGUUAGAAGACUUAAGAGGAGUUGUGAGUACAUACUUAACCUGGAGUGCAUUUGGGAGAGAGAAAAUGCCAAUUAGAUAAUUCAGUGACAGUUUAUAUAGUUUAAGUUAUCCUUUGUAAAUAAUGUUUGUUGUUUUUAGCCUUUGCUGUAGAUAGAACUCAGCUAAAUCUUUUCGUUGGUGAAAAAUUCCUCAGAGUGACAUUUGUACCAUUCUCUUCAACAGACUUGUCUCACAGAAAUCUUAGCAUAUUACAGAAAGAAUAAAAAAAAAAAAAAAAGGACA